UAAAAGAAAAUUAUUUUGUUUGAUCCGGAAGAACACAAGUUCGUUCAGUGAGUGAUCCCAGAUUGCACUUAAAAGUGUCCGCGAUUGAUUCCCAGUGUUCCGAAAUAAUAUGGUCAGCAUAUCGGUCCGUGUUCCCGCCCUGAAAGAGAAUCGAUGUGAGGAGCCACCGAACGAGAGAAAGCUGCUGGAAAUUCGACAAUAGAAUGGAAUCAUCCUCUUGCUUCUUAAAAGUUGUAUACGAUUACGCCAUAAGGACAAGUACAUUGGGACAACAGCCACUGGUUGAAUCGGUUUUGUCUAGUUUAACAACAGCCGCCACUCUGUGGUGCAGCUUGGUCACCGCAAGAGGCGUCCCGAGUAUUCUGCUAAGUAUAAAGCUCGAAUCGAUCUCUGAUUCGGGGACGGAAGUGAAUAGUUAUUAUCUGAUAUUUUGUACUAUCAAAAUACAAGACUUGCAUGAAAAUUAUCGACGAGUAAAUGCUGUAAAUUAAAGUGAAUUUGUCUAAAUAUA
Molecule: long non-coding RNA, 511 nt
Filed under: Aedes aegypti (yellow fever mosquito)
Lineage: Eukaryota; Metazoa; Arthropoda; Insecta; Diptera; Culicidae
Description: lncRNA AAEL026047
Source: RNAcentral